UUGGAUUAGUUAUCAUCAAUGC
This 22-nucleotide microRNA is filed under the name Drosophila melanogaster (fruit fly). Its description in RNAcentral is "dme-miR-976-3p". Its record names the gene dme-miR-976-3p. Lineage: Eukaryota; Metazoa; Arthropoda; Insecta; Diptera; Drosophilidae. RNAcentral also lists the same sequence under 1 other name. The record is from miRBase by way of RNAcentral.